Molecule: transfer RNA, 85 nt
Filed under: Felis catus (domestic cat)
Lineage: Eukaryota; Metazoa; Chordata; Mammalia; Carnivora; Felidae
Rfam family: tRNA
About the family: Transfer RNA (tRNA) molecules are approximately 80 nucleotides in length. Their secondary structure includes four short double-helical elements and three loops (D, anti-codon, and T loops).
Source: Rfam by way of RNAcentral
GCCUGGGUGGCUCAGUUGGUUAAGCGUCUGACUUAGGCUCAGGUCAUGAUCUCACGGUUUGUGGGUUCGAGCCCUGCGUCGGGCU